UACGAAGGGGGGCUAGCGUUGCUCGGAAUCACUGGGCGUAAAGCGCACGUAGGCGGACUCUUAAGUCGGUGGUGAAAUCCUGGAGCUCAACUCCAGAACUGCCUUUGAUACUGAAGAUCUUGAGUUCGGGAGAGGUGAGUGGAACUGCGAGUGUAGAGGUGAAAUUCGUAGAUAUUCGGAAGAACACCAGUGGCGAAGGCGGCUCACUGGACUGGUAUUGACGCUGAGGUGCGAAAGCGUGGGGAGCAAACAGG
RNAcentral lists this ribosomal RNA (254 nucleotides) under uncultured bacterium. Its description in RNAcentral is "partial 16S ribosomal RNA". It matches the Rfam family "Bacterial small subunit ribosomal RNA", at positions 524 to 776 of the family's 1533-position model. The record is from RNAcentral.